UAUUAGUCAAUGCUCGUAAGAGUGAACUAGCUAACUGAAAUCAUAUUUGUGACAAAUGUGAUGUCGUAAGGGAAAAUAAUGAUAUUACCUUACUAAUAGUGUCGUCUAAAACUGGUGCCAGAAGACUCGGUAAGGCCAGAGACACAAAUGUUAAUCGUCUUAAUCAGGCGUAAAGGGUUUGUAGGCUGCCUUGAAAAUAUUAAUUUAGUAUAGCUAUUCUUUAUUUAUAGAAUAAUCGAUUUUGUUAUUGGAGUUAAAAAUAAUUAUACUGAUGAUUAUUCGUAGUAAUUAAUGUAAUGUAAAUUGGUACGAAUUAAGGCUAGAAUCAAAUAGAGGAUAUUUACGAAAUAAUGCUUGGUCGAGGGCUGAGAUCCGUAGACACCAAGUGGAGUGCGAAUGGCGUAAGCAUUUAUCCAUUAAUGAUUGACGCUGAGAAACGAAGGUGAGGAUAGGAAAUUGGAUUAGACCUCAGAUACCCCUCUCUGUCAACGAUGAAUGGUAGUUUGUUAGUCUUAAGGACUAGUGACGAAGUUAACACGUUAACCAUUCCGCCUUGUGAGUACGGCUGCAAAGUUGAAAACAAAAAAAUUAGUCGGUCUCGGAGCAAACGAAGUGAAGUAUGUUAUUUAAU
RNAcentral lists this ribosomal RNA (631 nucleotides) under Antrodiella faginea. Its description in RNAcentral is "partial small subunit ribosomal RNA". It matches the Rfam family "Bacterial small subunit ribosomal RNA", at positions 362 to 950 of the family's 1533-position model. The record is from RNAcentral. Lineage: Eukaryota; Fungi; Basidiomycota; Agaricomycetes; Polyporales; Steccherinaceae.